Molecule: long non-coding RNA, 1700 nt
Organism: Marmota monax (woodchuck)
Lineage: Eukaryota; Metazoa; Chordata; Mammalia; Rodentia; Sciuridae
Exons: 2
Source: RefSeq, a predicted model, not a curated record
CUAACAUGGCCUUGAGCAGUCUUAAUCCUGAACCUACCUGGGAAAUCCCCUUCUUCCAACAGGGGCAUAGUUCUGGCUGACUCUGGAGCCCAGCUGGUGCACGUGGAUUGGGAUCAAGAGGACAAGUUUGUGAAUCAAGGGGCUCUAGGCAAAGGGAAACUUUUGCUGGAGGAAACAGAAGCAUUGAAGACUCGUCUAUGCCAAGGCUUCUGCUAGAAUGAACUUAUCCAGUAAGUAUGCCCAAAGCCAAAGGCAGGUUUAUCUGGUGUGUUGUCAAAAUUUGGCUGGAAACAGGAGAAAACCAUGUGUACCACCAAAUUUCCUGGCUUCCCCAGGCACAGGGGCUCUUGAAGAGAUGUUGUGAUGGCCCUUUGUGAAUGUGCCCAGUCUGGAAAUGGACAAAUGCUGUACAGAAGGUAGGGCAUAUGUGAGUUCUGCCCUGUGGUAUCUGCAGAAAGUGGGCGAUUUUAACAAAGCCAUGGGAGGAAGCCUGCAUGAUGACAGUGCAUGCCUUGAAAUGGACUAAACGUGUGGAAAAUUAAUGGACAAGGGGGCUUUUGAAAUUCUAAUGUAUAAGAAAUUUCUGGAAGGACUGAGUUUUUGAGUCUUUAAAACUUCCCAAGCAGCUGAGUUCCUGGGAAAGGUCAGGGCCAAAUAUACCUUUUAACAGGUAUAUUCUCAAAAAAGACAUGAACAGAAUGGUUGAGGUCUUUGCUCAGUUGGAUAUCUGUGUGACACCUUCAGUAUUCAGUCUUUGGAUGAUAUUCCCCAACUCCUGAAGAAUAAAGAGCGCCCUUCUCUUUUAUCACGUAUUGGCAGGAGGUGACAGUCUUCUGAAAACACCGGCUUUUGUCCUUUCCCAGGAAAGUCCACCUCUAGAACACUCAGAAGAGAAACCAGAAAAUAUGGAUUUGGCAAAGAAAUGGUAGCCCAACACCAUCCUUUGGAAGCGAUUAAAAGCAACCGGCCAACAACAAAUCAAUAAAAAGAGCCUAUUUUAUUUUAUCUUAUUUUUUUUUUCAAAAAUACAGACAUUACUCUUUAUUACAACAAAAUGCUUAUCACAAUAUAAAUGCACAGGAAAUAUUUGAUUAGUGGUAUCUUUAAAAUUUAAUUUAACUGUGGUAAUAAAAUUUAAUCAUAAACCUGGCAAUAUGACAUAAAAAUCUCAAUUCUAAUAUUUGUAUCUAAUUAUAAAUAAAAGUGUGCUAAAAGGUUAAAUAAGGGUGCAUUGAAUUAAUAUCUUAUACUAAAAUUUAUAAACAAUAAAAAGCAUAAUACAAGAUUGAUUAUGUAAAAAUUUACAGUAUAUCUAUAAAAUAUAAUAUGCAUAGAAAAUGUCGGCUAUAUGUAAAAUUAAUUGAAGAGUUGAUUACAAAUCAGACUGAACAGAAGUAAAGAAACAAAAAGGAAAUUCAUCAAAAUUAUUAAGAUAAUUAACUGCAUAUUGAAUUAUAGGCAAGUUUAUAGUCAAGAUUGAUAAAAAAAGAAAAUCUAGAAAAGAGCCUAUUUUAUUAGUGAUCUGAUAUAUUUCAGUUUGUUUGUAAAAUUUUGGGAAAUCAUAAGCAUUUUCAUUUGGGUAGAGUUUCUUCUCAUGUUAAGAUAAAAACCUUGUGCUUUCAGAAAACUUCAAAAAUAUUUGCAUAUGUUAGCUGUUAGACUUCUAUGAUUUUUAUGUCAAAUAAAGGCUAUAAAAAUUA